RNAcentral lists this microRNA precursor (144 nucleotides) under Megaselia scalaris. RNAcentral's name for it is "microRNA mir-598". Lineage: Eukaryota; Metazoa; Arthropoda; Insecta; Diptera; Phoridae. The record is from RNAcentral.
UUCUGAAAAUAAUUUCGAAGAUGAUGAUGGAUCUGUCCAUCUUUCCUCACAGGAAUGUAAUAGAAGUAUGAAUUUGGAAAUGAAAUUUAUUGGGGGGGGGGCGAGGAAAGAUGGACGGAUCCAUCGUCAUCUUCGAAAUUAUUU